This 266-nucleotide unclassified non-coding RNA is filed under the name uncultured fungus. RNAcentral's name for it is "sequence contains ITS1". The stretch from base 1 to 104 matches the Rfam family "5.8S ribosomal RNA", at positions 49 to 154 of the family's 154-position model. The record is from RNAcentral. Lineage: Eukaryota; Fungi.
UGAAAUGCGAUAAGUAAUGUGACUUGCAUUAAUCUGUGAAUCAUUGAAUUUUUGAACGCACUUUGCACUCAUCCUAAAGGACGAGUAUACUUGUUGGAGUAUCAUAACAACCUAACCAACAGAUGUUGGGAGUGUGAGGUUUUUUCUGUGGAAAUGCCUUUAAAUGGAUGAAUCCUACAGUGUGGUAAAAGACCUAGUCUUUCCCGCUAACAAAGAUUUAUUUGAACACUGAUCUCCAAUCAAGUAAGACUACCCACUGAACUUAA